This 1474-nucleotide small RNA is filed under the name Pongo abelii (Sumatran orangutan). RNAcentral's name for it is "processed transcript". Lineage: Eukaryota; Metazoa; Chordata; Mammalia; Primates; Hominidae. The record is from RNAcentral.
AAUCUCGAUGACGGCUCACUGCAACCUCCACCUCCCAGGUUCAAGCAGUUCUCCUGCCUCAGCCUGCCAAAUAGCUGGGAUAACAGGCACACGCCACCAUGCCUGGCUAAUUUUUUUGUAUUUUUAGUAGAGACAGGGUUUCGCCAUGUUGGCCAAGGCGGGCAGAUCACUUGAGGUCAGAUUUGAGACCAGCAUGGCCAACAUAGCGAAACAGUCUCUACUAAAAAAAAAAAAAAUUAACUGGGCAUGGUGGCGCAUGCCUGUGGUCCCAGCUACUCUGGAAGCUGAGGCUUGGGAGGCUGAGGCACGAGAAUUGCUUGAACCCAGGAGGCGGAGGUUGCAGUGAGCCGAGAUUGCGCCACUGCACUCCAGCCUGGGCGACAGAAUGAGACUCCCACUCAAAAAUAUAAAUUUACUGUAAAAAUAUAUUUGCCCAGCGCGUGGAAUGAUCUGGGUUUCGUAACCCAUAAGGCUGACCAGGACUCAUUGUCCAUGGAGAGCACCCUCGCCUUCCACGGGGAGAUGGUGCUUAGCCUCCUUCCUGCACUUCCAGCCCCACUGCUCCACCCGGCAGGCUCAUGCUGACUGUGCUUUGCUGAGAAUCUGCUUAGGAGCUGCCUCAGUUUGCUGAGAAGUGAAAUGUUCUUGGGGGAACCCUCAAGGUUGUUGUCCCAGUUCCCUGACACUAGGGCCUGCGUUUAGCAUGGUGCUCAGCCCAACACACCAGACAGGCACUGUUCCCACCUCUGCCAACGAGGAAAGCCCCUGGGGGUUAACACUGCCGCUGGUGCCAGCACUGAUGGCAGCAUGGCAGUCAGGACCCAGGCCUGACAGCGUCCCCGGCAGCUACAGAAGUGCAUGCUCCCUCUCUGCACAGGUCACUUCCAGUACCUCUUGGUGUUGAAGUGAUUUAAGUCAGAACCCCUUUUAUUGCCCCAGGGGUGACCGCGAGGCCGUGGUCUCGGGGCUUUGUGUUUGCAGGAGUGUGGGGCUGGGGCUGCCUUUUCCGCGUCCCCUGGAGGAGACCUCAGGCAGCCUCUGUAGGUCUGAGGACCUGGCUGCAUGCCAGCUUCUCCCGGGAGGCUUUGGACUUGGGAGCCUUUGAACUUGCCCUUGAGAGGCGGAUCAGGAGGGGGCAGGUUUUACGCGUCGUGUGUUGAGUCCCUCACAUGCACCCUCCAAGGACCUGUCAGGGAUGGAGCAGCUUGCUGGAGACAAGGGGCAUGACCUCAGCGGUGGCGCUGAGGUGAGAAUGCAGGGGUUUUGUCAAGGUGUCUGCACACAGCAGCCCCUGCCGCGUGGGAGGGACAGGAUGGGACCCUGGAAGGAAGAGGAGCUGGGGCUGUGCCGGAAGCAGCCGGCUGCCCUCACCUACCGCACAUUGCAGGGUCCGAGAGCCAGGGACGCUGGUGUGCGACAACGCGUGGUUGUUGCCACCCACCCUGGGCCCUCUGCUGCCUCUGCCGAGCCCAGG